CACGUAGGGUGCGAGCGUUGUCCGGAAUUAUUGGGCGUAAAGAGCUCGUAGGCGGUCUGUCGCGUCGGCUGUGAAAACCCGAGGCUCAACCUCGGGCCUGCAGUCGAUACGGGCAAACUAGAGUACUGCAGGGGAGACUGGAAUUCCUGGUGUAGCGGUGAAAUGCGCAGAUAUCAGGAGGAACACCGGUGGCGAAGGCGGGUCUCUGGGCAGUAACUGACGCUGGAGGAGCGAAAGCGUGGGGAGCGAACAGG
Molecule: ribosomal RNA, 254 nt
Filed under: uncultured bacterium
Lineage: Bacteria
Description: partial 16S ribosomal RNA
Rfam family: Bacterial small subunit ribosomal RNA
Source: RNAcentral